This 782-nucleotide long non-coding RNA is filed under the name Polistes fuscatus (common paper wasp). RNAcentral describes it as "uncharacterized LOC122513678". The record is from RNAcentral. Lineage: Eukaryota; Metazoa; Arthropoda; Insecta; Hymenoptera; Vespidae.
CACAAGAAUUAUUCUUCUCUUAUACCUAUGCAAUCGUUCCCGUUCAUUCGUUCGCUCGUUCGUUCGUUCGUGUUUCGCUAUAGGGGAAAAAAUCAACGGGGGGAUGAACGAGGGGUAUCACUGGGGUGAACAGAGAUACAAGGAUAUGAAGAGGGAAUGAUAGGGGUUAGAGAAAGAGAAACAAGGAUACGAAGUGGGGAUGAUAAGGGGUUAGAGAGAGAGAGAAACAAGGAUACGAAGAGGGGAUGAUAGGGGUAAGAGUGUGUGAGAGAGAGAGAGAGAAACAAGGAUAUGAAGAGGGGAUGAUUGGGGCGACACCUGGUGGCGCCAGGUCGAUAUGGGUUUUACCUGUAUCACCACUCCACCAUCCCACGACUAGCAACGCCUUGUUCUUUCUUCUCGCAUACACACACACACGCGCUAUAUAUAUACACGUACAUAUAUAUACACAUAUACACGCACACGCACACUAAGUUGGUAUCGUACGUAACAUUAUGUAUCGAUAUCUCACUCUUUCUCUUCUGGACUCGAACAGAAUGGGUUAUCCGUCGCGAUUAAGAGAGGACGAUUUUUCCAACGGGAUUGGGGAAGGGGAAAUAAAUACAUCGUAAAUUGUCGAGGAAAGGCAUUGAAAUCGUGAAGAAAUGACGACGAGUAGAGGAGCCCUGGCAGACUUGCUGGGUGGCUUUGGUCGUGGCUAAACAUCGAGCGAAAUGACGUCGUUAAACGGCAAGGGGAAGGAAAAAAAUGGAGAUAUAACAGACGGAAAGUAAGAGAGAGAG